AGUAGUAUGUCUGAUAAAAGUAAUAAAUUGUAAAUUUAUUUAUAGAAAUAAAUUUCUUACUACUA
RNAcentral lists this transfer RNA (65 nucleotides) under Podagrion sp. JY-2018. Its description in RNAcentral is "tRNA-Tyr". Lineage: Eukaryota; Metazoa; Arthropoda; Insecta; Hymenoptera; Torymidae. The record is from RNAcentral.